This 607-nucleotide ribosomal RNA is filed under the name uncultured delta proteobacterium. RNAcentral's name for it is "bacterial SSU rRNA". It matches the Rfam family "Bacterial small subunit ribosomal RNA", at positions 8 to 595 of the family's 1533-position model. Lineage: Bacteria; Deltaproteobacteria. The record is from RNAcentral.
AGAGUUUGAUCCUGGCUCAGAACGAACGUUAGCGGCGCGCCUAACACAUGCAAGUCGCACGAGAAAGGGCUUCGGCCCCGGUACAGUGGCGCACGGGUGAGUAACACGUGGGUAACGUUUCCUCGGGCGGGGGAUAACCUUCCGAAAGGGGGGCUAAUACCGCAUAAGACCACGGCCUCGAAAGAGGGCGCGGUAAAAGCAGGCCUCUACAUGUAAGCUUGCACCUAAGGAUCGGCCCGCGGCCCAUCAGCUAGUUGGUAGGGUAAUGGCCUACCAAGGCUAAGACGGGUAGCUGGUCUGAGAGGAUGAUCAGCCACACUGGAACUGAGACACGGUCCAGACUCCUACGGGAGGCAGCAGUGGGGAAUCUUGCGCAAUGGACGAAAGUCUGACGCAGCGACGCCGCGUGGGUGAUGAAGGCCUUCGGGUUGUAAAGCCCUGUGGGGAGGGACGAAUAAGUCGGAGCUAAUACCUCCGGCGAUGACGGUACCUCCUUAGCAAGCACCGGCUAACUCUGUGCCAGCAGCCGCGGUAAGACAGAGGGUGCAAACGUUGUUCGGAAUUACUGGGCGUAAAGCGUGUGUAGGCGGCCGUGCAAGUCGGAUGU